Molecule: transfer RNA, 519 nt
Filed under: Candidatus Kinetoplastidibacterium stringomonadis
Lineage: Bacteria; Pseudomonadati; Pseudomonadota; Betaproteobacteria
Description: Candidatus Kinetoplastibacterium oncopeltii partial 16S-23S ribosomal RNA intergenic spacer
Rfam family: tRNA (bases 235-307)
Source: RNAcentral
AGAGCAUUAAAACUGCGUAUUAAGUAUCCACAAUUAUCGAUUGUUAAAAUAGCUAUAAUUGUCAGUAAGCGCUGGUUAUGACAGAUUCCCUAUUAAUUGCAUUGUAUAAUGCAAUUAAUAUAAAUAUGGGUCUGUAGCUCAGCUGGUUAGAGCACCGUCUUGAUAAGGCGGGGGUCGUUGGUUCAAGUCCAACUAGACCCACCAUAAUGUUUGAGUAAAACCUUUCGAUAUUUUGGGGGUGUAGCUCAGUUGGGAGAGCGCCUGCUUUGCAAGCAGGAGGUCAUCGGUUCGAUCCCGUUCACCUCCACCAUAUAUAGAGUUUAAAUUUUAUACAUAAAAGCUUAUGCAUAAAAUUUAAGCUUUAUCAAAUAAGCUAUUUGUUCUUUAAAAAUCUAGAAGAAGCAACAACGAAAAGAUGUCUAUUAUUAGUAAUAGACAUAGGGUUGUGAUUGCAAAAAAGUUCCAAGUUUAAUUGGAAUAUUCAUAAACAUUCAAAUAUAAUCAUUUAUCUUAUAUAGC